CUGGAAAUAAAAAAUAUGAAUAAUGGCAUUCUCAAAAGAAUUUCACUCUAUCGCCCAAGCUGGAGUGCAGUGGCACGAUCUCGGCUCCCUGCAACCUCUGCCACCCGGGUUCAAGCGAUUCUCCUGCCUCAGCCUCCCGCGUAGCUGGGAUUACAGGCACCUGCCACCAUGUCCAGCUAAUUUUUGUAUUUUUAGUAGAGAUGGGAUUUCACCAUGUUAGCCAGGAUGGUCUCGAUGUCUUGACCUUGUGACCCGCCCACCUUGGCCUCCCAAAGUGCUGGGAUUACAGGCGUGAGCCACUGUGCCCGGCCAGAUACUUUAGAAUGUCUUAUUAUGUAAUAUUUGAUAUACUAAAAAAUACAUGUAACGUACAGGUUAGUUUUGAAGUAUAAUAAUAAAAAAAAUUCCUACGCACCCACCAACCAACUACAGAACUAGAAUGUAACCAAUAAUGUUGAAGCAGCUUUAUGGUCCUCCCAUCUGUAUCCUCCUGUCUUGGAAAAUGUACUUUUUCUUCUUCAAAUUUGGGAUUAUAAUAAAUACAUCUUUGAAUCCUGGACUUUCAUUAUAUUAUAACCAUUCACCCAAGAAACAUGUUUUCAUACUUUCUGUCAGAAACUACAAAAACCUUAGUGUGGGUGAAUUUUUUUUCUUCUUUUUUUUUUGAGACAGAAUUUCACUCUAUCGCCCAAGCUGGAGUGCAGUGGCACGAUCUCGGCUCCCUGCAACCU
This 731-nucleotide long non-coding RNA is filed under the name Homo sapiens (human). RNAcentral's name for it is "HSALNT0340174". The record is from RNAcentral. Lineage: Eukaryota; Metazoa; Chordata; Mammalia; Primates; Hominidae.